ACGCAAGUAGAGAGGAAGGUGGGGGAUCGACGUCAAAUCAUCACGGCCCUUACGCCUUGGGCCACACACGUAAUACAAUGGCCGGUACAGAGGGCAGCUACACAGCGAUGUGAUGCGAAUCUCGAAAGCCGGUCUCAGUUCGGAUUGGAGUCUGCAACUCGACUCUAUGAAGCUGGAAUCGCUAGUAAUCGCGCAUCAGCCAUGGCGCGGUGAAUACGUUCCCGGGCCUUGUACACACCGCCCGUCAAGCCAUGGAAGUCUGGGGUACCUGAAGUCGGUGACCGUAAAAGGAGCUGCCUAGGGUAAAACAGGUAACUAGGGCUAAGUCGUAACAAGGUAGCCGUACCGGAAGGUGCGGCUGGAACAUCUCAUUU
RNAcentral lists this non-coding RNA (374 nucleotides) under Corchorus olitorius. RNAcentral describes it as "Bacterial small subunit ribosomal RNA". It matches the Rfam family "Bacterial small subunit ribosomal RNA", at positions 1155 to 1533 of the family's 1533-position model. The record is from Rfam by way of RNAcentral. Lineage: Eukaryota; Viridiplantae; Streptophyta; Magnoliopsida; Malvales; Malvaceae.